RNAcentral lists this ribosomal RNA (253 nucleotides) under uncultured bacterium. Its description in RNAcentral is "partial 16S ribosomal RNA". It matches the Rfam family "Bacterial small subunit ribosomal RNA", at positions 524 to 776 of the family's 1533-position model. The record is from RNAcentral.
UACAGAGGGGGCUAGCGUUGUUCGGAAUUACUGGGCGUAAAGGGCGCGUAGGCGGCCUGUUAAGUCGAACGUGAAAUCCCCGGGCUCAACCCGGGAACUGCGUCCGAUACUGGCAGGCUUGAAUCCGGGAGAGGGAUGUGGAAUUCCAGGUGUAGCGGUGAAAUGCGUAGAUAUCUGGAGGAACACCGGUGGCGAAGGCGGCAUCCUGGACCGGUAUUGACGCUGAGGCGCGAAAGCUAGGGGAGCAAACGGG